GGCUCCAUGGUGCAGUGGUGAGCACAUCUGCUUCACACGCAGGAGGUCCUGGGUUCGCGCCCCAGUGAAGCCA
Pteropus alecto (black flying fox) is the source of this 73-nucleotide non-coding RNA. Lineage: Eukaryota; Metazoa; Chordata; Mammalia; Chiroptera; Pteropodidae. The record is from Rfam.